CCGGAAUUGCUAGUAAUGGCAGGUCAGCAUACUGCCGUGAAUACGUUCCCGGGCCUUGUACACACCGCCCGUCACACCAUGAGAGUUGGGGAUACCCGAAGCCUGUGAGCCAACUUUUUAAGAGGCAGCAGUCGAAGGUAGAAUCAAUGAUUGGGGUGAAGUCGUAACAAGGUAUC
RNAcentral lists this ribosomal RNA (176 nucleotides) under uncultured bacterium. Its description in RNAcentral is "partial 16S ribosomal RNA". It matches the Rfam family "Bacterial small subunit ribosomal RNA", at positions 1326 to 1500 of the family's 1533-position model. The record is from RNAcentral.